UACAGAGGUGGCAAGCGUUGUUCGGAAUUCCUGGGCGUAAAGGGCGCGUAGGCGGUCUUGCAAGUCCUGUGUGAAAUCCCUCGGCUCAACUGAGGAACUGCACAGGAAACUGCUUGGCUUGAGUUCGGGAGAGGGAAGCGGAAUUCCGGGUGUAGCGGUGAAAUGCGUAGAUAUCCGGAGGAACACCGGUGGCGAAGGCGGCUUCCUGGCCUGUUCUUGACGCUGAGGCGCGAAAGCUAGGGGAGCAAACGGG
This 253-nucleotide ribosomal RNA is filed under the name uncultured bacterium. Its description in RNAcentral is "partial 16S ribosomal RNA". It matches the Rfam family "Bacterial small subunit ribosomal RNA", at positions 524 to 776 of the family's 1533-position model. The record is from RNAcentral.